AUUGAACGCUGGCGGCAUGCCUUACACAUGCAAGUCGAACGGCAGCACGGGAGCAAUCCUGGUGGCGAGUGGCGAACGGGUGAGUAAAGUAUCGGAACGUGCCCAGUCGUGGGGGAUAACGUAGCGAAAGUUACGCUAAUACCGCAUACGAUCUAUGGAUGAAAGCGGGGGAUCGCAAGACCUCGCGCGAUUGGAGCGGCCGAUAUCAGUUUAGGUAGUUGGUGGGGUAAAGGCUCACCAAGCCGACGAUCUGUAGCUGGUCUGAGAGGACGACCAGCAAAACUGGGACUGAGACACGGCCCAGACUCCUACGGGAGGCAGCAGUGGGGAAUUUUGGACAAUGGGCGAAAGCCUGAUCCAGCCAUGCCGCGUGCAGGAUGAAGGCCUUCGGGUUGUAAACUGCUUUUGUACGGAACGAAAAGGUUUGGGCUAAUAAGCUGAGCUCAUGACGGUACCGUAGGAAUAAGCACCGGCUAACUACGUGCCAGCAGCCGCCGUAA
Molecule: ribosomal RNA, 500 nt
Filed under: uncultured bacterium
Lineage: Bacteria
Description: partial 16S ribosomal RNA
Rfam family: Bacterial small subunit ribosomal RNA
Source: RNAcentral